UACGUAGGUGGCAAGCGUUGUCCGGAAUUACUGGGCGUAAAGGGCGUGUAGGCGGUCUUUUAAGUCAGGCGUGAAAGCCCUGGGCUCAACCCAGGAACUGCGUUUGAAACUGGAAGACUUGAGGAUCGGAGAGGGCAGUGGAAUUCCCAGUGUAGCGGUGAAAUGCGUAGAUAUUGGGAGGAACACCAGUGGCGAAGGCGACUGCCUGGACGACACCUGACGCUGAGGCGCGAAAGCUAGGGGAGCAAACGGG
Molecule: ribosomal RNA, 253 nt
Filed under: Hydrogenispora sp.
Lineage: Bacteria; Bacillati; Bacillota
Also listed under: 1 other name
Description: partial 16S ribosomal RNA
Rfam family: Bacterial small subunit ribosomal RNA
Source: RNAcentral